Molecule: non-coding RNA, 339 nt
Organism: Cajanus cajan (pigeon pea)
Lineage: Eukaryota; Viridiplantae; Streptophyta; Magnoliopsida; Fabales; Fabaceae
Source: RefSeq, a predicted model, not a curated record
UGACGGAGUUGCAGAGUUUCUCCCUUUGUCAAUAUUCGAAACUAUUGGAAGAUGAGUUCAUAGGACCUCUCUUAGAUUCACCAUUUCAGAAUUUGUCCAAUUUCAAGGUCAAUCUGCCGUUUCUGUUGAUACAGUAAAAGUUAUAGUCUACAGGUUUGUGGAUUCGAUCUCUUGAGAAGUGAGAGACGUUCAUAUGUUUGUGAUGUGAAUGGAUGGAGCUUUGUUAAAAACUCAUACAAGUAAAUUUUGUAAUUAGAUUUUUUUUGCAUUGCGUUUUUUGAUAUCAGCAGCAGGGUUCAAAAUACUUAAAUAGUUAUUCACGUUCUUUCUAUAAAUAUA